RNAcentral lists this ribosomal RNA (450 nucleotides) under uncultured Glomeromycotina. RNAcentral's name for it is "SSU rRNA". It matches the Rfam family "Eukaryotic small subunit ribosomal RNA", at positions 569 to 1023 of the family's 1831-position model. Lineage: Eukaryota; Fungi; Glomeromycota. The record is from RNAcentral.
AGCAGCCGCGGUAAUUCCAGCUCCAAUAGCGUAUAUUAAAGUUGUUGCAGUUAAAAAGCUCGUAGUUGAAUUUCGGGGUUAGUAGGUCGGUCAUGCCACUGGUAUGUACUGGUCUCACUGAUUCCUCCUUCCUGAUGAACCGUAAUGCCGUUAAUUUGGUGUUGCGGGGAGACUGGACUGUUACUUUGAAAAAAUUAGAGUGUUUAAAGCAGGCUAACGCUUGAAUACAUUAGCAUGGAAUAAUGAAAUAGGACGUUCGAUCCUAUUUUGUUGGUUUCUAGGAUUGACGUAAUGAUUAAUAGGGAUAGUUGGGGGCAUUAGUAUUCAAUUGUCAGAGGUGAAAUUCUUGGAUUUAUUGAAGACUAACUACUGCGAAAGCAUUUGCCAAGGAUGUUUUCAUUAAUCAAGAACGAAAGUUAGGGGAUCGAAGACGAUCAGAUACCGUCGUAG